UACGGAAGGCAGCAGUGGGGAAUAUUGCACAAUGGGCGAAAGCCUGAUGCAGCUAUGCCGCGUGUAUGAAGAAGGCCUUAGGGUUGUAAAGUACUUUCAUCGGGGAGGAAAAAACAAAACUAAUAAUUUUAUUUCUUGACGUUACCCGAAAAAGAAGCACCGGCUAACUCCGUGCCAGCAGCCGCGGUAAUACGGAGGGUGCUAGCGUUAAUCAGAAUUACUGGGCGUAAAGAGCACGUAGGUGGUUUUUUUAAGUCAGAUGUGAAAUCCCUGGGCUUAACCUGGAACUGCAUUUUGAAACUGAAAUACUAGAGUAUCGUAGAGGGAGGUAGAAUUCUAGGUGUAGCGGUGAAAUGCGUAGAUAUCUGGAGGAAUACCUGUGGCGAAAGCGGCCUCCUAAACGAAUACUGACACUGAGGUGCGAAAGCGUGGGGAGCGAAACAGGGAUUAGGAUACC
This 457-nucleotide ribosomal RNA is filed under the name uncultured bacterium. RNAcentral's name for it is "bacterial SSU rRNA". It matches the Rfam family "Bacterial small subunit ribosomal RNA", at positions 340 to 786 of the family's 1533-position model. The record is from RNAcentral.